RNAcentral lists this transfer RNA (75 nucleotides) under Dehalococcoidia bacterium. RNAcentral's name for it is "tRNA-Gly". It matches the Rfam family "tRNA". Rfam says of the family: Transfer RNA (tRNA) molecules are approximately 80 nucleotides in length. Their secondary structure includes four short double-helical elements and three loops (D, anti-codon, and T loops). The record is from RNAcentral. Lineage: Bacteria; Bacillati; Chloroflexota; Dehalococcoidia.
GCGGGGGUAGCUCAGUGGUAGAGCGCCUGCCUUCCAAGCAGGAUGUCGCGGGUUCGAACCCCGUCCCCCGCUCCA